RNAcentral lists this long non-coding RNA (219 nucleotides) under Lathyrus oleraceus (garden pea). RNAcentral describes it as "Pisum sativum (pea) long non-coding RNA (PSAT_LNC017059)". The record is from RNAcentral. Lineage: Eukaryota; Viridiplantae; Streptophyta; Magnoliopsida; Fabales; Fabaceae.
GUAGUGUGUUGGUUCCAGCAGGCGCCAGCUGAAAAAUGAGAGAGUUCCUUAUUUAUUUUCUUUUUUUAUAUUUCUUAUUGUUGUUUUCUUUUCUUUCUUGCAACGUUUUGAGAGAGAAAUUCCCGGCGAGAGGUAGUUGGUUAGUGGUCCCUUUUAUUUUCUUCUCCCUCUCCUACCGUUUUUUGAGUAUGGAGAGAUAUAUGGAGUGCUAGCUGUCAU